CCUACGGGAGGCUGCAGUGGGGAAUAUUGCGCAAUGGGCGAAAGCCUGACGCAGCGACGCCGCGUGAGGGAUGAAGGUCUUCGGAUCGUAAACCUCUGUCAGCAGGGAAGAACGGUCACUGUGCUAAUCAGCAGUGAAUUGACGGUACCUGCAAAGAAAGCAACGGCUAACUCCGUGCCAGCAGCCGCGGUAAUACGGAGGGUGCGAGCGUUAAUCGGAAUUACUGGGCGUAAAGCGCUCGUAGGCGGUAUGUCAAGUCAAGGGUGAAAUCCCCGCGCUCAACGUGGGAACUGCCUGUGAAACUGGUAAACUUGAGUGUGGGAGAGGAUAGUGGAAUUCCAGGUGUAGGAGUGAAAUCCGUAGAUAUCUGGAGGAACAUCAGUGGCGAAGGCGACUAUCUGGCACAUAACUGACGCUGAGGCGCGAAAGCGUGGGUAGCGAACAGGAUUAGAUACCCCGGUAGUC
Molecule: ribosomal RNA, 465 nt
Filed under: uncultured bacterium
Lineage: Bacteria
Description: partial 16S ribosomal RNA
Rfam family: Bacterial small subunit ribosomal RNA
Source: RNAcentral